Long non-coding RNA from Anolis carolinensis (green anole), 1940 nucleotides. Lineage: Eukaryota; Metazoa; Chordata; Lepidosauria; Squamata; Anolidae. The record is from Ensembl.
AUGAGAACCACCACUUCUCUUGAUGUUCCCCCAGCAAUAGCAAGAGUAUCCCCCUGGGCAGCUAAACUAGGCAAUCUGAACUGGAUGGCCCCCCAUAAGGGUCUGCCUCCAGGGGCAAACCAAGAAUGGGCAACUUGCAAGUCCCUAAACAGACUCAGAAGCGGAUGGCAAGAUGGUACUACCUGGAGGAAUCCUUCACCUUGUGUGACUGUGGAGCUGAACAAACAACUCCUCAUAUGUAUGCUUGCCCACAAUGCCCUGCCUCAUGCACGGAGGAGGAGUUAUCGAAGGCUUUCAUGGCCGGGAUCACAGGGUUGUUGUAUGUCUUUCGGGCUGUGUGGCAGAGAACAGCUAAUGACUGAACAAAGGAUGCCCCCCAGGCAAGAGACAAAACCUUUCCAAUGCUAAUUAGGGUGAUUAACUGAAACAUUAAUGCUGGCUUCCCAGUGACAAAGGACUCUUGCCACACCCUGGACUCUACACAGAUAUAUAUUCUUUCCUUUCCUUACUUAGUUUAUCCAUACCUCACAACCUCUGAGGAUGCCUGCCAUAGAUGUGGGUGAAACGUCAGGAGAGAAUACUUCUGGAACAUGGCCACACCACCCGAAAGACAUACAACAACCCGGAGGAGGAGUUGUUUAAAGCUAUGGACAAUGCGAUUGCUGUUGCCCGCUUUUGGUCCAAAACUAUUUAGCUGUUUGUGAUUCCUUUAUUUUAUCACUUAUAAACUUAUUUAUUAUGCAAUGCUUUUGACACGAAAUAAAAUAAAAAUGGGUUUAAAUGGUUUCAACCACAUUUAAUUUUGGAGUUCCCCCAGAACCUCCCAGAAGUCAAAACAAAUGCAUACAUACUUCUCUGUGUGUGCCUAUCCUUUUACCUCAAAAUAACCCCAAAUGCCUUCUCACGGCCUCAGGAAGAAACAAAACCAUUGUGAGAAUGCCUCCAUGGCUCCUAUGGGCACCUGGGACAAGCAAUUCCUUUUCCCCUGGAGGGCUAAUGUGCACCUCUGAACUUCCAUAGUUGUCCAAUCCUGCUAUUUAAUGCAAACUAUCAGAGAAACAAAACAGCAGCUACAAGAGUAAAGCUGUAGAAAGGACUUAUGUCAAGGAAAAAUAUAAAGAUGGUGUUAAGGGGAAGAGACACAUCCGCCACAUUGAAUUGGGGCUUGCUUUCAUUCUGCCCUGCUUACACUAAGGAAUACCUUUCACAAUUUUCAGGGAGUAUAGUUGUGUUAGUCUUUUGUCGCAAAAGCAGCAGGGUCCAGUAUCUCCCCUUAUGUAGUCAACCACAUCUUCCAUUGAAGACUAACAAGCUUUCUUUGGCAUAUGCUUUUACAGACUGCAGUGUACUUCAUUGGAUGCUUAGCACGUACUUUCUGAUGAAAAGUCAAACAGGUGAAAGACAGUUAAAGUACAUUGUUUUGUAGUUAUAAUAAAAUAUUUAUUCUGUAUCUCUGAAGGAAUUCAGACUGCACCCCCCCCCCCUUUCAGUUACCACUGUUUGUCUUUAGUCUUCUUUGUAUCUUUCUCUAUGAUAUCACUCUCAGGAUCCUCCUGCGGUAGUUUCUGGGGCUUUUGCCAUUAGCAAAAAACUGAUGACAAAAAUUGAGUAGAUAGAUAGGUGGAUAGAUAGACAGACUAGUGAUCUGUGAGAAUACAACUGGAAGUAUUUUUGCAUCACAAUAUGUUAAUAUUGUUAUUCUUAUGCUUCCUGUACUAGUACUAUACUAGGAACUUACAUAUCCACUUACCUUAUUUCCCUCUCCCUACUAAAUGUACACAGCAGCUAAUAUCAAUUGAUCAUUUAGUCACUAUUAAUGCAAUGCAGCGGCCCAAGGUUGCGUGGUUCAUUUCAUGACUGAGGAGAGAUUUGAACUUGGGUCUCUCUGUUUCACAUCCAGCACUUUAAAUCUUAGCUUUCACUGGUUUCCUCUAAUGUAA